RNAcentral lists this long non-coding RNA (276 nucleotides) under Hordeum vulgare. RNAcentral's name for it is "long non-coding RNA (HVUL_LNC002147)". The record is from RNAcentral. Lineage: Eukaryota; Viridiplantae; Streptophyta; Magnoliopsida; Poales; Poaceae.
UCCGAUGAGUUAUCCCUAUGAAGUAUGCAUCAGUGUGUCCAACUAUCCAUGUCACAAUCAUAAUGUAACUUAUCAUUCAAAGUCUGGAUUUUAAUUAUAGCAUGUAAAUAUUGGGUAUAAAGAUAGAGAUAAAGUAAAGCUCUUUGUCUGCAGGUAGAUAGCGUGCAAAUUACUUGUGCUCUCAGUGUCCUGUGAACCCUUAAUAUACGUGGUUAUAAUCCAUCGGGUAGUGUCAACACUAUGCUAAACAUGCUCCUUACAAGAUUUGUAGGAUGG